Molecule: ribosomal RNA, 327 nt
Filed under: uncultured eukaryote
Lineage: Eukaryota
Description: partial 18S ribosomal RNA
Rfam family: Eukaryotic small subunit ribosomal RNA
Source: RNAcentral
CCCUUAGAUGUUCUGGGCCGCACGCGCGCUACACUGACGAAGUCAGCGAGCAUGUCCUACGCCGACAGGUGCGGGGAAUCUUGUCAAACUUCGUCGUGAUGGGGAUUGAUUAUUGAAAUUCUUGAUCAUCAACGAGGAAUUCCUAGUAAGCGCAAGUCAGCAGCUUGCGUUGAUUACGUCCCUGCCCUUUGUACACACCGCCCGUCGCUCCUACCGAUUGAAUGAUCCGAUGAAUAUCAUGGAUUGAGGAUGCAAGUAGGUUCACCUAUCUUCAUCUUCGAGAAGUGAAGUAAAUCUUAUCAUUUAGAGGAAGGAGAAGUCGUAACA